Drosophila sechellia is the source of this 394-nucleotide long non-coding RNA. RefSeq lists it as uncharacterized. The record is from RefSeq and is a predicted model, not a curated record. NCBI's taxonomy places the organism in Eukaryota, Metazoa, Arthropoda, Insecta, Diptera, Drosophilidae. The transcript has 3 exons.
GGACAUGGUCCAGAUGUGACGAAGCCCAACCAUGAUGUUGGGGAUCUGCAGCACCACCAUCUUAAAGCUCUCAUAGCUUCGUACUUUCUGGUUACAGUUACAAUUAAGAUAAGUGAGCAACAAUAAAUUAACAAGGCCUACGAAAAUUAAGCACUAAUGUUUCGAUUCCGAAAGGAACACGCUCUUGAGCGAACCACUAGUUCCAAACCGAAAUUAAAGUUCCAGUUUUAGCGUUGCCACGCUUAUAAAAUGUAUGAUUUCCAUUUUUAAAUAAGUUUUUUAGUUUCCAACGUCUUGGAUCUGCUAUAAAAACUCCUAUAAAACUCACCUCCAGAUAAUCUAUGAUGGUUCCUAAGUAGUCAGAGUUUUCCUUGGCCAGCUUGAAGCGAGCCUC